CGGGGUGUGGCUUAGCUUGGUUUAGAGCGCCUGGUUUGGGACCAGGAAGUCGGGAGUUCGAAUCUCCCCACCCCGA
This 76-nucleotide transfer RNA is filed under the name Candidatus Kaelpia aquatica. RNAcentral's name for it is "tRNA-Pro". It matches the Rfam family "tRNA". From Rfam's summary of the family: Transfer RNA (tRNA) molecules are approximately 80 nucleotides in length. Their secondary structure includes four short double-helical elements and three loops (D, anti-codon, and T loops). Lineage: Bacteria; Pseudomonadati; Candidatus Omnitrophota. The record is from RNAcentral.